Molecule: ribosomal RNA, 61 nt
Filed under: Sematophyllum tequendamense
Lineage: Eukaryota; Viridiplantae; Streptophyta; Bryopsida; Hypnales; Sematophyllaceae
Description: partial 26S ribosomal RNA
Source: RNAcentral
GACCUCUAAUCGGAAAAGACUACCCGCUGAGUUUAAGCAUAUCACUAAGCGGAGGAGAAGA